This is a long non-coding RNA of Cairina moschata (Muscovy duck), 2348 nucleotides long. NCBI's taxonomy places the organism in Eukaryota, Metazoa, Chordata, Aves, Anseriformes, Anatidae. The record is from Ensembl.
AUGACGGAUAUUUACAUAAAGCUUUCACUUGUGAUGGAGAAAUGUUCAUUGUGGAAGAGCUACAGCUGUUUCUGUCCCCUGAGACUGUGCCAUUUCUCCAGCUGUCUUGUAAAAAGGUAGAACUUCUAUCCCUGCAUAUGGAAAGUGACUGCUGUAAUAGCUUGCCUCAGGCCUUGCUCUUCUGCGUUGUUCUGACUUUUAAAUAGUCUGUAAAUGCUUCAUAAUUCUACUUCUAUCACAUAUUCAUUAAUAUCAGAAGCACAGUACAUCUUCUUAUCUGUAGAAUUUUGUGUGUGUCAAAAAAUAACUGAAACAAGCCUUUAUGAUCAUUAAAAAAAUAAGGAAGGAGCUCUGACAUUUUACAUGCUGUUUACAAAGCUGUUUUUUUUCUGAUUUGUAUUGCCAUUUAUUCUUAUAAGCUUUUUAGUUAAUGAUUUUUUUUAAUAAAUACCAAAAAUAUUAUAAUUCAUGUUAGCAAAUAGGAGCUUAAGAUCUCACUGACAUUGUAAAACAAGAACUCCCUCCUGUGUUUCUAGGGAAUGCUCUAUGUAGGAUCCAGCUGCCAGCUCCUGUAUGCCACCGAUACAAGCACUGCUUGGAUUGCAUCUUGGCAAGAGGUCCUUACUGUGCAUGGUCUGAGUCUCCUAAUGAAGGUGUUCUACUGGCAAAUCAAACUGGUGAUACAAAAUAAAGAGCUGUUGUUUCACCUGCACACCUGAUGUCAGAUUGCUUUAUAAGUGCACUCUUGCUGUCUGCAACACAAACUCAGGAUGAUUCCUAGAAAUGGCAUCGCACAAGCUGAAACACUUCUUUUCUGUGUUUUUGUUUUUUUUUUUUUUUUUUUUUCUGUGUGUGUGUGUGUCUGUUUGGUUUUUAUUUUUGCGUUCCCCCUGGAAUUUAAUUCAAAGUGUGAAAUACGGGGAUGCUUCCAGCUGCCUUAACAUAGAAUAUAAAGUGAGAAAAUUGGUCUUUCCCCCUGAGAACAAUGUUCAUCUUAAAUGUGUUCCUCUGUUGAAUCUGGCAAGAGUGGUGUGGAAGUUUAAUGGGAGCAGACUUCAAGAGAAGGACUCUAAACACCUCCUCUGUGAUGGAGGAAUACCAAAAUUUAGUGUGAUAAUGGAUGAGGCUGGAUUCUCUGGUUGUCUCUCAGUAGAGAAAUCCAAAGGGAAGGAAUUCCUUAUCACUGGGGCAUGCUGUGCCCUUUAUGUCCAUCAAAAUACAGAGAAGGCAAAUAUUAAUGCCGCAACAAAUAAGUACAACAAAGCAGGAGCUGAGGGUUUUAAGUCUUUAGUCCCAGCUUCUUUUCUGAAAGAGGCAACAAAACAGAAAGCUGUGGACAGCCGAAAAGAGAAGGUUGUUUUAAAAGUCCUGGGGGCUGGUUUUGCACUUCUUAUUUGUUUGGAAUUUCUACAAGGGUCAUUUAUCUCUGCCUUGGAAGAUCAGAGAAACCAGUUCAAAACCACCAAUGCAGGUUGUUUGGGAAGUCCAGCAUUGGCUACAGAGGGAUCAGGCAGCAAAAAGGAGAGUUCAGCCACACAAAUGGACACGUCUUUUGUUAAUGAAUAAACGCUUGUGAGCUUUUCUUAAGGAGUGCAGCCCCAAUGCACGGCACGGUGCAGGUUUUACGGAGAGCUUGCAGUUCCCUGAGAUGUUUGGUUAAGAUGAUGUUUCCUGUUAAGGACUGUGGAAUGUAAAUUUGGGCAGGAGUCAGAAGCUCGGAGUUGGAGAUGACAAGCUGCAUUGUGUAUUACACAGAUGCGUUACCACGUAGUGCUUAAAAGCAAAAUUCCUUCUUUGGGUACCUUUUUGACACAUUAAAACCACAAGAAUAAAUUUCUUUCAAAAAUUGACGCUGAUCUACUUUUUUGUAAUGUUGGAGUUGCCCAAUUACAUAAAUUAAUACUUCAGAAGCUAAUAAUACUUAGUAUUUAGCGCUUUUCACCUUCAGACUUUGUGUUUAAUCUACGAAUAGCAACUAAUUAAGUCUCCCAAUGCCCCAAGAGGUUGCUACUACCCUCAUUUUUCAUGAGGUUAAAUUACUUGUCACUGACCAUAGUAUUCAUGUCAGAUCUAAUGCUUUGUUAGAAGUUCCUGAGUCAUCUUCCUAUAUUUUUUCUUUCUCUAUUUUCCUCUCUUUUCCCUUUAUUUAACCUUUCAAAAGGCUUUCCAUACAUUUAUUUUUCUAAUGUGUUCUUAGUGACCUUUGUGAUGCAUCUUUCCCUGUCCGAAAAUGCCAUGAGCUGACUUAUGUACUGCAUCAUUGUUCUGGAUUUAUUUCUGAGGUUUGGUCAAAACUCAGACACUGUAGCUCCUUUUAUUAAAGGCCACUGAAAGUUGAGCAUUUUUUC